ACAUCACGUUGAAAACACCGGUUACCGUAAGAUCCCUGAAGUUAAGCAACGUAGAUUCUUGUCAGUUUUUAGAUGGGUGACCACUUGGGGAUACUAGGUGUUGUAAG
This is a non-coding RNA of Acanthosepion pharaonis, 107 nucleotides long. Lineage: Eukaryota; Metazoa; Mollusca; Cephalopoda; Sepiida; Sepiidae. The record is from the annotation of a GenBank genome assembly.